UCGAGAGAUCGAGCUUUCCCUUCGGGGACAAAGUGACAGGUGGUGCAUGGUUGUCGUCAGCUCGUGUCGUGAGAUGUUGGGUUAAGUCCCGCAACGAGCGCAACCCUUAUUACUAGUUGCCAGCAUUCAGUUGGGCACUCUAGUGAGACUGCCGGUGACAAACCGGAGGAAGGUGGGGAUGACAUCAAAUCAUCAUGCCCCUUAUGACCUGGGCUACACACGUGCUACAAUGGAUGGUACAACGAGUCGCGAAGUCGCGAGGCGAAGCUAAUCUCUUAAAGCCAUUCUCAGUUCGGAUUGUAGGCUGCAACUCGCCUACAUGAAGCCGGAAUCGCUAGUAAUCGCGGAUCACAACGCCGCGGUGAAUACGUUCCCGGGUCUUGUACACACCGAG
This 394-nucleotide ribosomal RNA is filed under the name uncultured bacterium. Its description in RNAcentral is "bacterial SSU rRNA". It matches the Rfam family "Bacterial small subunit ribosomal RNA", at positions 999 to 1394 of the family's 1533-position model. The record is from RNAcentral.